AGUGGGGGGUAACUCCGCGAAAGUGGAGCUAAUACCGCGUAAGACUACAGAGUCGCAUGAUUCAGUAGUAAAAGGCUCCCCGAUUUUCGGGGAAUCGCUCAGGGAUGAGUCCGCGCCUGAUUAGCUAGUUGGUAGGGUAACAGCCUACCAAGGCAACGAUCAGUAGCCGACCUGAAAGGGUGUACGGCCACACUGGAAUUGAGAUACGGUCCAGACUCCUACGGGAGGCAGCAGUGGGGAAUCUUGCGCAAUGGGGGAAACCCUGACGCAGUGACGCCGCGUGAACGAUGAAGUCCUUCGGGAUGUAAAGUUCUGUCAGGCGGGAAGAAUCUCCCCCCGAUGCAAAUCGGGGGGAAAUGACGGUACCGCCAGAGGAAGCACCGGCUAAUUCCGUGCCAGCAGCCGCGGUAAGACGGAGGGUGCAAGCGUUGUUCGGAAUUACUAGGCGUAAAGAGCGUGUAGGUGGUUAGUUAAGUCGGAUGUGAAAAUUCCAAGCUUAACUUGGAACCGGCAUUCGAAACUGGUUAACUUGAGUGUAGGAGAGGAGAGCGGAAUUCCUAGUGUAGCGGUGAAAUGCGUAGAUAUUAGGAAGAACACCGGUGGCGAAGGCGGCUCUCUGGCCUAAAACUGACACUGAGACGCGAAAGCGUGGGUAGCAAACAGGAUUAGAUACCCUGGUAGUCCACGCCGUAAACGAUGGGCAUUAGGUGUAGGAGGUAUCCAAUUCUUCUGUGCCGAAAGUUAACGCAUUAAAUGCCCCGCCUGGGGGAGUAACGAC
Molecule: ribosomal RNA, 778 nt
Filed under: uncultured bacterium
Lineage: Bacteria
Description: bacterial SSU rRNA
Rfam family: Bacterial small subunit ribosomal RNA
Source: RNAcentral